This 492-nucleotide ribosomal RNA is filed under the name uncultured bacterium. RNAcentral's name for it is "partial 16S ribosomal RNA". It matches the Rfam family "Bacterial small subunit ribosomal RNA", at positions 29 to 507 of the family's 1533-position model. The record is from RNAcentral.
AGUGAACGCUGGCGGUAGGCCUAACACAUGCAAGUCGAACGGCAGCACAGUAAGAGCUUGCUCUUACGGGUGACGAGUGGCGGACGGGUGAGGAAUACAUCGGAAUCUACUUUUUCGUGGGGGAUAACGUAGGGAAACUUACGCUAAUACCGCAUACGACCUACGGGUGAAAGCAGGGGAUCUUCGGACCUUGCGCGAUUGAAUGAGCCGAUGUCGGAUUAGCUAGUUGGCGGGGUAAAGGCCCACCAAGGCGACGAUCCGUAGCUGGUCUGAGAGGAUGGUCAGCCACACUGGAACUGAGACAGGGUCCAGACUCCUACGGGAGGAAGCAGUGGGGAAUAUUGGACAAUGGGGGCAAGCCUGAUCCAGCAAUACCGCGUGGGUGAAGAAGGCCUUCGGGUUGGAAAGCCCUUUUGUUGGGAAAGAAAAGCAGCAGGUUAAUCCCCCGCUGUUCUGACGGUACCCAAAGAAUAAGCACCGGCUAACUUCGUG